Molecule: long non-coding RNA, 1489 nt
Organism: Neofelis nebulosa (Clouded leopard)
Lineage: Eukaryota; Metazoa; Chordata; Mammalia; Carnivora; Felidae
Exons: 3
Source: RefSeq, a predicted model, not a curated record
AAGGGCAAGCAUCGAAUACAGUUCUCUGACAUAUAAUAGGCAUGUGGCAAUCAACACCAGGAGCUACUCCAAGUCAUAAGCGGCUUCCAUGGUGCUGCAGAGGCUGCCUCCAGAAAGCACAGAACCAGAAAAUAACAACUCCAUUGUUGGAGCAAAUGUUGAGACACUGAAAUUUCUGAUCACCAAUUACAAUGCGUGGAGGAGUUUUUCCCCAUAACAUCAUCAAGCCAUGCUCAGGACACCAGGCCCAGCCAUAGCACCACAAACCUACCCAUACCUCCUGUUCCAAACACUCAGGUUCUUCAGCCCCUGAGUGAAUGCUGAGCCACCCCAGCCCAGAUUUUCCGGCCUGUCACAUCUACUGGUUUUUGAAUCUUAGUUCUCACAUUGACACCGAAGUCUUUGGGAAAAAAGCCAUGAACUGGGGCCAUCGGGGACUACCCUGCCAGCCCUGGAAAUACCAGAAGUUAAGGUAAGUGUCUCUUAGGGUUUUAGAGAUGCAAGUUUAUCAAAGGAAAUCCUGCUUCUUGCUGUGGGGAGUCAUGCAGGGAAACCUCUUGCCCAAGAAGUGACUCAGUCAGGAAAUGUCAAUAAUUUCAAGAGUUGUAGAUACAUUCUCAGAUGAUAGGCUCACCCGGAUCCAUGAGGCAAUAUUUGAAGGCUAGGGAGAGUCCUAAUCUUUAAGAGGAGGACCGCUCUGCAAACUGUUGUCGAUGCACAAGGAGAUUAGUACAGAAACUGACCAUAAGCUUCUAGAAAAUUUUAUAGUAAAUGAUACAGCUGUGAUAUCAAAGUACACGAUCAUUUCCCCAGGAAUGCAUUUUUAUCGUAUUUUAUAAAAGUAUUGGUUCACAGCAGAGGUUUUAAAAAUCGGGUCUUUAUCACAGACAAGUUGAGAAGCACAGGUACAGAGAGCUACGAGACCCACCUCUCAGAGGUUGAGCCCUGUCAGAAGGAACACAAAGGUGAUUUGUCCUCUGUGUCUGGGGUGGAGAGGGGUAGGAAGAGUUAGCAAGGAUCCUUCUAGUUUUAUAAUCCAAACCUUAAGAGUUUACUUGGCUGGAGGCCAGCUUCGGAUUCAUGGCAAACUGAUUCUUGGCAAGUGGUAGCCCUCAUUACGUCCCUUUCAUUUCAGCAGGGAGAAAAAAGCAAAAGCACCCUUCUAUAGGGUGUUUGGGAAGGAGGCACCAGCCAUUGUUACUACUAUUUAUUGAGUGGCGGAGCCAGCAUUGGAAUCCCACCUGCCUCUGGGCCUUUGCACAUGUUGUUCCUCCUGCCUGGCCUUCCUCAGCUAUCUACCAUCACAGUGAUAACUGUUUCACUUCCUUCAAGUGAAGCUCAUGUAUUUAUCCCUCCAGGUGCCUGUCCUGCUUCUCCCCUCCACUCACUCAAGUUCUUUAUUGCUCCCUACGCUUCUCUUUCAUGGCAAUACUAACAGAACUAACUGUGCAAUCAAUUGUUUAAUUUCUACCUUUUCAAAAAUUGUGAG